This 536-nucleotide ribosomal RNA is filed under the name uncultured fungus. RNAcentral describes it as "eukaryotic LSU rRNA". The stretch from base 186 to 339 matches the Rfam family "5.8S ribosomal RNA". The record is from RNAcentral. Lineage: Eukaryota; Fungi.
AAGUCGUAACAAGGUUUCCGUAGGUGAACCUGCGGAAGGAUCAUUACCUAGAGUUGUAGGCUUUGCCUGCUAUCUCUUACCCAUGUCUUUUAAGUACCUUCGUUUCCUCGGCGGGUUCGCCCGCCGAUUGGACAAUUUAAACCAUUUGCAGUUGCAAUCAGCGUCUGAAAAAACUUAAUAGUUACAACUUUCAACAACGGAUCUCUUGGUUCUGGCAUCGAUGAAGAACGCAGCGAAAUGCGAUAAGUAGUGUGAAUUGCAGAAUUCAGUGAAUCAUCGAAUCUUUGAACGCACAUUGCGCCCCUUGGUAUUCCAUGGGGCAUGCCUGUUCGAGCGUCAUUUGUACCUUCAAGCUCUGCUUGGUGUUGGGUGUUUGUCUCGCCUCUGCGUGUAGACUCGCCUCAAAACAAUUGGCAGCCGGCGUAUUGAUUUCGGAGCGCAGUACAUCUCGCGCUUUGCACUCAUAACGACGACGUCCAAAAGUACAUUUUUACACUCUUGACCUCGGAUCAGGUAGGGAUACCCGCUGAACUUAA